RNAcentral lists this ribosomal RNA (253 nucleotides) under uncultured bacterium. RNAcentral describes it as "partial 16S ribosomal RNA". It matches the Rfam family "Bacterial small subunit ribosomal RNA", at positions 524 to 776 of the family's 1533-position model. The record is from RNAcentral.
GACAGAGGGGGCAAGCGUUGCUCGGAAUCACUGGGCGUAAAGGGCGCGUAGGCGGGAUGGCAAGUCGGUCGUGAAAUCCUUCGGCUCAACCGAAGAACGUCGGCCGAUACUGCCGUUCUUGAGGGAUGCAGAGGAGAUUGGAAUUCCCGGUGUAGCGGUGAAAUGUGUAGAGAUCGGGAGGAACACCGGUGGCGAGGGCGGGUCUCUGGGCAUCUCCUGACGCUGAGGCGCGAAAGCGUGGGGAGCAAACGGG